GAUGAACGCUGGCGGCGUGCCUAAUACAUGCAAGUCGAGCGAACAGAUAAGGAGCUUGCUCCUUUGAAGUUAGCGGCGGACGGGUGAGUAACACGUGGGUAACCUACCUAUAAGACUGGGAUAACUUCGGGAAACCGGAGCUAAUACCGGAUAACAUUUAGAACCGCAUGGUUCUAAAGUGAAAGAUGGUUUUGCUAUCACUUAUAGAUGGACCCGCGCCGUAUUAGCUAGUUGGUAAGGUAACGGCUUACCAAGGCGACGAUACGUAGCCGACCUGAGAGGGUGAUCGGCCACAAAGGACCUGAGACACGGUCCAGACGCCUACGGGAGGCAGCAGUAGGGAAUCUUCCGCAAUGGGCGAAAGCCUGACGGAGCAACGCCGCGUGAGUGAUGAAGGGUUUCGGCUCGUAAAACUCUGUUAUUAGGGAAGAACAAAUGUGUAAGUAACUGUGCACAUCUUGACGGUACCUAAUCAGAAAGCCACGGCUAACUACGUG
This 497-nucleotide ribosomal RNA is filed under the name uncultured bacterium. Its description in RNAcentral is "partial 16S ribosomal RNA". It matches the Rfam family "Bacterial small subunit ribosomal RNA", at positions 28 to 507 of the family's 1533-position model. The record is from RNAcentral.